Molecule: long non-coding RNA, 458 nt
Filed under: Cricetulus griseus (Chinese hamster)
Lineage: Eukaryota; Metazoa; Chordata; Mammalia; Rodentia; Cricetidae
Description: lncRNA (ENSCGRG00015034969.1)
Source: RNAcentral
GUCAGCUUGGACUACAUGAGACCCUGUCUCAAAAAAACGGGAAAAAGAGAAAAAAGGAAUACUUGUCUCAGUCGACGAAAGGGAUAUUUUUCCCAUUUAUAAAAUGUAAAAAAAAAAAAUGAUUCACAUUAAAGGCUGGAACCAGGGAUUUUACAAUACACUGGCAGACUGCUAAACAAGAAACAGACCCUGUAGCCCCUGCUGACCUGAAACUUACAGAAAUUCACCUGCUUUUGUCUCCCAAAUACUGGGAUUAAAGGUUUGCACUCCCAUGCCCAUCUCAGGUCUUAUCUUUUUACUGUUUCUACAGUGUGCCUUUUCCAGGUUCAGGAGGUUGCCAUUGCAGACUAACUUUGAUCACUAAGUAACAUGUAUUCCAGAUUCUCCCCAUCUUCUCAUAUUUUGGUAGUUUUUAUGGAGUUUUUUUGUUUGCUUGCUUGUUUUUGUUUUUUAAUUUG